GGGGGGGGGGUGUGCGCGCGCGCGCGCGCUCCCGCGGGCGCCCUGUGAGGGGUUGGGGGUCCCACACCGGCCAUGGCCGGCGGCUGAGGGCGGCGAAGCCCCGCGCACCGGCCCGGUGGGCCGCGGUCAACCAACCAGUUCACCCACCCGCUCCCGCCCGCGGUUGAGGACCCGCCUCGCCUGUUUUUCUACCCAAACCCCAAACAUGGCGGCGGCUUUGUCCACCGUUCACCCCCUCCACCUUCCCCAAGCGCACACACGCACCCCCCGCUCACGGCAGGGCUCCGGCGGCUCAGCGGGGGAACCGGCGGCUCCGCGCACUGCAGUAGCGCCCGCCGCCCUCAGGCCUGGCGCGGAAACGCGAACAAUGGGGAUAGUAACCGCAGCGCCUGAAAACCUGCCAACCCUGACCUUUCCAGAGCGUACUUCCAGAGUGACUGUUUGUUUGUGCAGGCAGGUUGAUUUGGUGGAUCUCUGAUUGGAAAUCAGCAAGUGACCUGGCAGGGGGAUACGAAAUGGCCACUCUUUCACAUGCACCCUGAAGUCCAAUCGUUUGAUGCCUAACCAGAGCAAUUCCCUCUGCAAAGUACUGUUAUAAGGAAUCAUUAGCUAAAACAACGUUAGAUUAAAAUACCUGUAAGGGAGCCAGUGCAAUUGAACAGAUAAGUGGUGACUUUAGGACUGUGGAGGUGUGGCAUCUAUUCACAGCUUUUGUUUCUGACCGAGUGGUUAGUGUAAAACAAAUCCCUUUGCUAAUCCCUGUUGAAGCCUUUGUAUUUCUGACAGUUAAUGAUCAUUUUUGUCUUCUAAUGAGUAUUAAUAAUCAUACACUGGAAUACAUUUAGGAUGUGUCAUUUUAUUAGUCUGAUUGGUCUUAGUCCCCAUUCCUGCAUUUGAAUAAUGAUGGAAAAUAGGUUCUCUGUUGUUUACACAUCGUGAUCCACAGAUCCACAUGACUUCCUGGCUUUGAAGUGGGCUGUACGGGCUGUUUUCUUGCUGUCUGAUUUUCAGUGAUAAAUAAAGCCCGUUUUGCCCAA
Molecule: long non-coding RNA, 1037 nt
Organism: Tyto alba (common barn owl)
Lineage: Eukaryota; Metazoa; Chordata; Aves; Strigiformes; Tytonidae
Exons: 2
Source: RefSeq, a predicted model, not a curated record